Molecule: unclassified non-coding RNA, 263 nt
Filed under: uncultured soil eukaryote
Lineage: Eukaryota
Description: sequence contains 5.8S rRNA gene, ITS2, 28S rRNA gene
Rfam family: 5.8S ribosomal RNA (bases 1-52)
Source: RNAcentral
AACGCAUAUUGCGCCCUCUGGUAUUCCGGGGGGCAUGCCUGUCCGAGCGUCAUUACAACCUUCAAGCACGGCUUGUGUGUUGAGCAUUUUGUUCCCAUUUUGGUGAACAAGGCUCGAAAUGCAGUGGCGAUGCCUAAAUUGGUUGCCUGAACGUAUGGGGCUUCGUCACACGUUCUUGUGGCUCCAGUUUUGCAUUCCGUCUCAAAACUCCUUUUUAAAACCGAAUUGACCUCGGAUCAGGUAGGAAUACCCGCUGAACUUAA